CGACCUCUCCCUUCAGCCCACUCCACCAUCAUCUUCCUCUCCCAAUGGAUGGGUCGCUGCAGCUGCUCCAUCUCCUCCCAGCGCAGCGGCGAUACUGCCGUCCCACCCCUGGUGCCUCCUCUCACUCCUCCACCGAUCCCCACCCUCUCAGUCCCGGAUCCUCUAUCCCGGACUCACGAGCCCUUUUCCACCCUCACCCAAGAUUCAACUAGGUUGUAUCGACCAGGAAAGACGGCGAGGGUCGAGGCCAUUAGCGCUGGACUUCUGGCGGCGUCACCGACGGGCCAGAGGACUCCUGACGAUGGGGACUAGAACACCACCGCUGUAGAUGCCAUGCCAUACUUGCAAAGGUGCAGACGGAUAGGAAGCUUUCCAUGUUCAG
This is a long non-coding RNA of Lolium rigidum, 382 nucleotides long. RefSeq lists it as uncharacterized. NCBI's taxonomy places the organism in Eukaryota, Viridiplantae, Streptophyta, Magnoliopsida, Poales, Poaceae. The transcript has 2 exons. The record is from RefSeq and is a predicted model, not a curated record.